AAGCAAUAGAAUAGGCUUCUCAAGGGUGGUCGGCACACUCCUCCAAUGAAAAAGGAGGGAGGUGAUGCCGUAUGACAACGUUUGAAACACUCAUGUUUGCAGUCGCUUUUGCAGGCUUAGUCGUGUCGAUUUUGUCAUUCCAUAAAAAAGACUAAAACCGCCCUUGAGUUUACCCAGCUCCGGCGGUUUUAGCAUGUUAGAUGCUGAUCCCCUAGAAGGGACCUGCUAUUGCAUAGCCGUUUCGAUGUGCCCAGCAUCGAAA
Bacillus sp. FJAT-27231 is the source of this 262-nucleotide non-coding RNA. The record is from Rfam. Lineage: Bacteria; Bacillati; Bacillota; Bacilli; Caryophanales; Bacillaceae.